Molecule: ribosomal RNA, 253 nt
Filed under: uncultured bacterium
Lineage: Bacteria
Description: partial 16S ribosomal RNA
Rfam family: Bacterial small subunit ribosomal RNA
Source: RNAcentral
GACGUAGGGGGCGAGCGUUGUCCGGAUUUAUUGGGCGUAAAGAGCUCGUAGGCGGCUCGUUGCGUCGGCUGUGAAAACCCGCAGCUCAACUGUGGGCUUGCAGCCGAUACGGGCGGGCUGGAGUUCGGUAGGGGAGACUGGAAUUCCUGGUGUAGCGGUGAAAUGCGCAGAUAUCAGGAGGAACACCAAUGGCGAAGGCAGCACUCUGGGACGUGACUGACGCUGAGACGCGAAAGCGUGGGGAGCAAACAGG